Myotis lucifugus (little brown bat) is the source of this 76-nucleotide non-coding RNA. Lineage: Eukaryota; Metazoa; Chordata; Mammalia; Chiroptera; Vespertilionidae. The record is from Rfam.
GAGACACCCUUCUGGGGCAAGACUUGCUUCAGUGCGGCUUUGGUGCUCACUGAGUCUGCCCCCUGAGUGUGUCCCU